CUACGGGGCGCUGCAGUGGGGAAUAUUGCACAAUGGGCGCAAGCCUGAUGCAGCAACGCCGCGUGAACGAAGAAGGUCUUCGGAUCGUAAAGUUCUUUUCUUAGGGAAGAAAAAUGACGGUACCUAAGGAAUAAGCACCGGCUAAAUACGUGCCAGCAGCCGCGGUAAUACGUAUGGUGCAAGCGUUAUCCGGAAUCACUGGGCGUAAAGGGAGCGUAGGCGGUUUUGCAAGUCAGAAGUGAAAGGCUACGGCUCAACCGUUGUAAGCUUUUGAAACUGCAAGACCAGAGUGCAGGAGAGGCAAGUGGAAUUCCUAGUGUAGAGGUGAAAUUCGUAGAUAUUAGGAGGAACACCAGUGGCGAAGGCGACUUGCUGGACUGUAACUGACGCUGAGGCUCGAAAGCGUGGGGAGCGAACAGGAUUAGAUACCCGGGUAGUC
RNAcentral lists this ribosomal RNA (439 nucleotides) under uncultured bacterium. RNAcentral's name for it is "partial 16S ribosomal RNA". It matches the Rfam family "Bacterial small subunit ribosomal RNA", at positions 339 to 795 of the family's 1533-position model. The record is from RNAcentral.